UGCAGCGACGCCGCGUGAGGGAUGACGGCCUUCGGGUUGUAAACCUCUUUCAGCAGGGAAGAAGCGAAAGUGACGGUACCUGCAGAAGAAGCACCGGCUAACUACGUGCCAGCAGCCGCGGUAAUACGUAGGGUGCGAGCGUUGUCCGGAAUUAUUGGGCGUAAAGAGCUUGUAGGCGGUUUGUCGCGUCUGCCGUGAAAAUUCGAGGCUCAACCUCGAACUUGCGGUGGGUACGGGCAGACUAGAGUGUGGUAGGGGAGACUGGAAUUCCUGGUGUAGCGGUGAAAUGCGCAGAUAUCAGGAGGAACACCGAUGGCGAAGGCAGGUCUCUGGGCCACUACUGACGCUGAGAAGCGAAAGCAUGGGGAGCGAACAGGAUUAGAUACCCUGGUAGUCCAUGCCGUAAACGUUGGGAACUAGGUGUGGGUCUCAUUCCACGAGAUCCGUGCCGCAGCUAACGCAUUAAGUUCCCCGCCUGGGGAGUACGGCCGCAAGGCUAAAACUCAAAGGAAUUGACGGGGGCCCGCACAAGCGGCGGAGCAUGCGGAUUAAUUCGAUGCAACGCGAAGAACCUUACCAAGGCUUGACAUAUGCGAGAACGCUGCAGAGAUGCAGAACUCUUUGGACAC
RNAcentral lists this ribosomal RNA (629 nucleotides) under Phycicoccus sp. Ri2Ps_5060. Its description in RNAcentral is "bacterial SSU rRNA". It matches the Rfam family "Bacterial small subunit ribosomal RNA", at positions 387 to 1029 of the family's 1533-position model. Lineage: Bacteria; Bacillati; Actinomycetota; Actinomycetes; Micrococcales; Intrasporangiaceae. The record is from RNAcentral.